GCAGAAUCGGACUUUGAUCAUUGGAGCUAUUUUCGGUCACUUUUAUCCAAAAUAUUCAAUUUUUCGGCAUUUUCGCAACUGGGUAAGCAAUUUCCAACCUUUCUUUUAGUAAUGUAUGUUGUUUUUCGAAUUUGAUAGAAGGAUUGAGCAUAAAUCAAAGUUUAUGAAGGGAUUUUCAUUUCUAGCUUUUAUUCAUGCUAUUUUAUUAGAGAAAUUUAAUUCUUCAUACUAAAUUUAGGCUAUAACUAAUUUAAUGAGCAAUUUAGUACAAUUAGGAUUAACUUCUCAAGUAAUGUUAAAAAAAUUUACUUAGAUGAUUAUUGCUAUGAAUCAUGAUAUCGGAGGAAAAACUAGGUGCUAAGCUAAUGUUGAACAAAAUUCUAGGAGAAGGAUUUAAAUUGUUAUGCAAUUGAAGCUAUGAGUUGAAUCCUUAUAAAGUGAAGGUUAGAUUAUUGUCACAAUUGCUUCUGCAUUAUUCUAUUACUUGAACCUUGAGAAUUGAUGCGAUAACUAAAUUUCUUGACGAAUGGCGAUAUUGUUAUUUAAAGGAGGACGGGUAUUCGAUUUGAUUGAUUGCCCGACGGAUGGGCUGUGUGCAUUGAUUGAUAAAGAUAUGAUAAUAUUGUGAUAUUUGAGCAGGUAGAUAGUCCAAUUUUUAGGGGAGGUGCUGCCGAAAUUUCGAUAGAACUUAGAUUAAUUUUAAUUAACAACAUAAUUAAUAAGUUUAUUUAGGUUAGUUCUAUAACUUGGUGUGAUCGCUUGAUGAUCUAGAAUGGAUGGAGACCACCGGGUUGCCUCCUGUUGGUAUGAAAAAGAAAAGAGAGGAUAGAAAAACAAUGAGAGGGCUGGUCAAGUGAGGAUUANNNNNNNNNNNNNNNNNNNNNNNNNNNNNNNNNNCCACUGACUAAUUUCCACGUGAUGUGAUUAUUUGAAGGUGAUAUUGUUUGUGAGUGCUGGUGACAUGCCAUUUGUGUGACUGGCUGCGUGAGCAUAUAACUAGUCGGAUGACUAGAUUGAUAUGUUUACACAUUUGUGUGACUGCGUGUGUUGUGCAAUAAUUAUUACUCCUUAGAAAACUCACAUGUCUUGUUUGAUUUUUUCAGGAAGUAAGUUUUUCUUUAAUCCGAUUUAGGCUAUGUUUCUUCGGCGCAGGGCAAUAGAGAAAUUUUCCUAGUUCCAUAAUUAUUUCACUAUGUAAUUAUGUGUAUAAAAAGCUAUGUAUACCAAAGAGUUAGUGACUCCGCAGUUGUAGGAUUUACCUAUAUUUAGUCGUGUACUAACGUAGACAAAAUAAUUCUGUAAGCCAUAUUAGAAUGUGAUGUAUUGUAAACUGGGCCCGAACUAUAGAAUGCUGUAGAAGAAAAACUUGGGCCGAGAACUAAUAAAAUGUUGAAAUUUAUACCGAGG
Molecule: long non-coding RNA, 1407 nt
Filed under: Jatropha curcas
Lineage: Eukaryota; Viridiplantae; Streptophyta; Magnoliopsida; Malpighiales; Euphorbiaceae
Description: long non-coding RNA (JCUR_LNC001614)
Source: RNAcentral